GAGUCACUGAAACUGAGACAAUAUCUUGCAUGAUGAGAUUAUUGGGGUCACUGAAACUGAGAAUUCCAUGUGGAGUGUGUAAGCACAUUGUACUAUAAUCAUGAAAACCAAACUCUCUUUGAAAGUUCCAUCUAGCUACCAUUAGCAGCUAUGGUAUAACUAAAUUUACCUCUUCAUUUGUAUCAAUAACGGCAAGCGAAGUGUUCCCAUUCGAGGUGUUACAUGCUUCUCCUGGGGACACUUAUCCGAGAUGGGUCGUUCCUUGGCCUUACGAGGUCAGUCUUACGUUGGGUCUUACGAUCUCGGUGACUCUAAUGUUUUUACAUAAUCUCAGAGGAACAUGUAGAAUCACGGUGGAACGAACAAUCAUGAACAAUAAACAUCAUGGGCAAAAGGCAAAGAUGUAUAAUGGUUCACCAUGCCAUCGAAGGACAUGACUACAUCCACUUAAGGUUCUACUAUCAUGGCCAAUAGGCCCUUGGGAUCGGGAGAGAGAGAGAUUCAGUCAGCCCUCCUCUAUCCAUCAUCCAUCAGAUCAGCUAGAGAGAUUCAGUCCCUUUCAGCUAGAGAGAUUCAGUCCCUUUCAGCUAAAGAGAGUUUCUACGUAUGGGAACCCUUCCUUUUAUAGCUAAGGAAGGUUCCCUCCUUUUACAUGUUUCCAAUGUGGGACAAACUAUACAUAACUAUUAUUACGGUGUCUUCUUGUGGAGCUUGGAGAAGCACCUUCCCGAUGUGGCACGAAUGAUAUUUCAUCAUAACGAGGUAGCCUGGAUAUCGGUUUACAAGUUUCAUGACUGGUCUAUGGGCGGGGAAGGUAGUUCUCAACUACCGACUACAAGUCUCCCCAAGUUCUCGUUCAAGAUACGUCUUGAGUGGGGACUUGAUAUAUAAAAUGCCCAUAGACUAGUCAUUAGACCUGUAAAUGGACCGGAUAUUGAUCCAGACCCGCUCCGGAUCCGUAGUUUUUAAACGGGUCUGGAUCGAAAAUUUGACCCGUUGAUCCGUUAAGGACCCGGAUCCGUUUACCCGUUUAUUAAACGGAUCGGAUACGGAUCGAGGUUGAUCCGACCCGUUAAGGACCCGGAUCCGUUUUAAAAUAAUUAAAUAAUAUUUUUAUAAAUAUAAUAUUACAGAUAAAUAUUAAAUAAUAUAACAAUUCUGGAUAACCUAAACGUCUACAUUAAACCUUACCAUCACUCGAGACGCUGAUGAUCGAGGAAAGCCAACGUUUGGUUUACCAGAAAGCUUAGAAGGUUGUGCUUCAUUAAAGCAAUCUCAUCCCCUCUCAGAUGUUAUUCAUGUUAAUACGUCUCUCACUCUAUAUGAAAGAAAGAAGAACUCUGCUCCACUUUGGUUAUCAAACUAUUGAUCUGGUAAGAGAGCCAUAUCUCCCUUU
This 1396-nucleotide long non-coding RNA is filed under the name Fragaria vesca (wild strawberry). Its description in RNAcentral is "long non-coding RNA (FVES_LNC004451)". The record is from RNAcentral. Lineage: Eukaryota; Viridiplantae; Streptophyta; Magnoliopsida; Rosales; Rosaceae.